Molecule: ribosomal RNA, 431 nt
Filed under: uncultured bacterium
Lineage: Bacteria
Description: partial 16S ribosomal RNA
Rfam family: Bacterial small subunit ribosomal RNA
Source: RNAcentral
AACGAACGCUGGCGGCAGGCUUAACACAUGCAAGUCGAGCGCCCCGCAAGGGGAGCGGCAGACGGGCGAGUAACGCGUGGGAACGUACCUUUUGGUUCGGAACAACUCCGGGAAACUGGAGCUAAUACCGGAUAAGCCCUAACGGGGAAAGAUUUAUCGCCGAAAGAUCGGCCCGCGUCUGAUUAGCUAGUUGGUGAGGUAACGGCUCACCAAGGCGACGAUCAGUAGCUGGUCUGAGAGGAUGAUCAGCCACACUGGGACUGAGACACGGCCCAGACUCCUACGGGAGGCAGCAGUGGGGAAUAUUGGACAAUGGGCGCAAGCCUGAUCCAGCCAUGCCGCGUGAGUGAUGAAGGCCUUAGGGUUGUAAAGCUCUUUUGUCCGGGAAGAUAAUGACUGUACCGGAAGAAUAAGCCCCGGCUAACUUCGUG